GUCCUUGUAGUGCAAUGGUAGCGUGUUGGACUUCUAAUCCAAUGGUCGUGGGUUCGCGAAUCCCACCUAAGUUG
This is a non-coding RNA of Trichonephila inaurata madagascariensis, 74 nucleotides long. The record is from the annotation of a GenBank genome assembly. NCBI's taxonomy places the organism in Eukaryota, Metazoa, Arthropoda, Arachnida, Araneae, Nephilidae.